Pelobates cultripes (western spadefoot toad) is the source of this 211-nucleotide non-coding RNA. NCBI's taxonomy places the organism in Eukaryota, Metazoa, Chordata, Amphibia, Anura, Pelobatidae. The record is from the annotation of a GenBank genome assembly.
CCUGAUCCGACAAGAUGGAAUGCCAUACUUCGGCUUGUGAGGACUCCUCCCGCUGAUAAAGUUUGGUCCUUCGAUCAUCCGGUCGUGCUUCCCUGUUGUUGAAGUGUUAUCCUCUUCAGCACUAAGUUGUCUACUUAUUGGACAUUAUCGCUGUUUCUUGGUUUUGACAUGAUUUUCUACGGUCGCAUCUUCAGAAAGAGGGAAAUGGAAG